This 28-nucleotide non-coding RNA is filed under the name Rattus norvegicus (Norway rat). Lineage: Eukaryota; Metazoa; Chordata; Mammalia; Rodentia; Muridae. The record is from RNAcentral.
UUCCGAGAAGUGGAUUAAAAUUGCAACU